GUAGUCACUGGUAGUACGGGACCAGUGACUACAGAUUUGUAGUAGAAGACUAUGGACAUGCCUUUGUUUUCAAAGGGUCGUGAAUUUGUUUAAACUUAAACUUUGUGCUUUGAAAAGGGGGCCACUGGCGUCGGGAGUGGGGGUGCCAGACGCCUUUGCACGCGGCUCGAGUAAAAGUCGACACAGGGUGCGACCCCCGGUAUCGGCCACAUGCCAGGCACCACAGAUGGGUACCAAUGUGGUAGGGUACCAAUGUGGUAGGCGUGAAGGACUCCGAAGUAAAUAAGGUUCCAGACCUUUCUUUACUGCCAAUGUCGGUUGCCGUGGGGUUUUACCAUUAAUUCGAGCAAACGUACUGGCUGCGGCACCGUUAUCAAUCUUUCAACGUAGAGCGAAGCAUCAGUCUUAAAGCGACCGACGAGGGGUGCAGAUCUACCUGCUAAACAUGCAUAUAUCCGUAUUAUAUUUUCUGCGUUCAUUUAAUUUGCUGUAUUUAUCUUCUUAGCUUAUUGAAUAAACUCAUUAAGAG
This is a non-coding RNA of Osmia lignaria (orchard mason bee), 529 nucleotides long. The record is from RefSeq and is a predicted model, not a curated record. Lineage: Eukaryota; Metazoa; Arthropoda; Insecta; Hymenoptera; Megachilidae.